CCAUUCAGGGAAGGAGCAGGCGCGCAAUUACCCAAUCCUGACUCAGGGAGGUAGUGACAAGAAAUAACAAUAAACCGGCUUAUGCCGGUUUAAUUGGAAUGCGUACAAUUUAAACAUCUUAACGAGGAACAAUUGGAGGGCAAGUCUGGUGCCAGCAGCCGCGGUAAUUCCAGCUCCAAUAGCGUAUACUAAAGUUGUUGCAGUUAAAAAGCUCGUAGUUGGAUUUCUGUGGGGACGGAGCGGCCGGCCGCACAUCGCGGUUCGAGCUAGCGCUUUCCCUACAUCCUGCCGCGAACCGUGCUACCAUUAAUUUGGUGGCGCUGGGGAUCGGCUCGAUUACUUUGAGAAAAAUAGAGUGUUCAAAGCAGGCCACAUGCCUUGAAUAAGUUAGCAUGGAAUAAUAACUAAGGACUUCGGUUCUAUUUUGUUGGUGUUCGGGACUGAAGUAAUGAUUGAUAGGGACAGUUGGGGCGGUCUGUAUUCCAAAGCGAGAGGUGAAAUUCUUAGACCUUCGGAAGACAAACAGCUGCGAAAGCGUUCCGCAAGGAUGUUCCCUUUGAUCAAGAACGAAAGUUGGGGGAUCGAAGACGAUCAGAUACCGUCGUAGUCUCAACUAUAAACUAUACCAGCUAGGGAUCGGCCAACGUUAUUUCAAACCGACUUGGUCGGCACCUUAUGAGAAAUCAAAGCAUCUGGGUUCCGGGGGGAGUAUGGUCGCAAGGCUGAAACUUAAAGGAAUUGACGGAAGGGCACCACCAGCCGUGGAGCCUGUGGCUUAAUUUGACUCAACACGGGAAAACUUACCAGGUCCAGACAUAGUAAGGAUUGACAGAUUGAUAGCUCUUUCUUGAUUCUGUGGGUGGUGGUGCAUGGCCGUUCUUAGUUGGUGGAGUGAUUUGUCUGGUUAAUUCCGUUAACGAACGAGACCCCAGCCUGCUAAAUAGCGCGCGUGAGCUUUGCUCGCGGCGAGCUUCUUAGAGGGACUAUGAUGCGCGAUAGCACAUGGAAGUUUGGGGCAAUAACAGGUCUGUGAUGCCCUUAGAUGUUCUGGGCCGCACACGGGCUACACUGGCGCCUGCAACGAGCAUAUCAGCUGGCCCGAGAGGGUCUUGGCUAAUCUUUUGAACCGGCGCCGUGCUUGGGAUUGACCUUUGCAAUUGUUGGUCAUGCAACGAGGAAUGCCUUGUAAACGCGAGUCAUCAGCUCGCAUUGAAUACGUCCCUGCCCUUUGUACACACCGCCCGUCGCUCCUACCGAUGAAUGUUCCGAUGAAAUUUUCGGAGAGCACCUGUGAACUUGGCUCUGCCUUGCGAACGGGAGGCUCAAAGUCACAUAAAUCUGACCAUUGA
Molecule: ribosomal RNA, 1349 nt
Filed under: uncultured marine eukaryote
Lineage: Eukaryota
Description: SSU rRNA
Rfam family: Eukaryotic small subunit ribosomal RNA
Source: RNAcentral